This is a long non-coding RNA of Micropterus dolomieu (smallmouth bass), 1333 nucleotides long. RefSeq lists it as uncharacterized. Lineage: Eukaryota; Metazoa; Chordata; Actinopteri; Centrarchiformes; Centrarchidae. The transcript is spliced from 12 exons. The record is from RefSeq and is a predicted model, not a curated record.
UUCUUGUCAGACCCCUGGACAGAAGGGCAGAGAUGUUCACAUGAAGGAGUGGUCUGCUGGAGGCCCAUAUGAGAAGCCUGGAAAAGCUCCGGCUGCUUCCCUGACGCUGCUGGUCACAGUCAGGGUGUCGGUGCACAGAGAGGAGGACACGGGCAGAUCUGCACCUGUGUCCGUCCACCACUUUCCUGCUUCCACAUUAGUCAGCCAAUUCAUGACCGCUAAGUCAUCUCUGUGGAUUGGAAGGACAGAUAAUGGGAUCUACCAGGCUGCUGCUGCUGCUGCUGCUACUUGGCAUGUGAUCAAACUGGGAGUAAAAGCCAAUGUUGGGAUGUUAUGGUGUAAGCCACAGCGGUUUCAAGGGCCUCAGAUAUCACUUCCUCCCACGCUGCACUGUAGACAACCACUGGAAAGACAUGCAGGGCCAAUGACAUUUGAUUGCAGGCUCCUCCACAGGCCUCUGUGACCUGUGGCUACCCAUAACACCCUUCUCUGCAUUGAUAGGUUUGUCAAAAUCACACAAAUACUCUGGCACCACUGAGUAGUACAAGGGGAGAAAAAGCUGAGCCUGAAUCUGAUUAAGUCUCUCAGCUGCAUGUGGAUAAAAGAGCUGCUGCCACCGGAGGAUAUUUCGACAUGAAAAAGAUCAAUUGAUACGUGUGUGUGCAACGUCCAGCAUUAAAAUGGACAGACCUUUCCAGCGAGAAUGAGCCUGUUGUGGCUCUGUCCUUUCCUGUAGUGUCUGCUAGAGAAAUUUGGGGCUGUUUGAGGCCCUGCUGUGUGCUCUUCAUGGCAGGGUUAUAGGUAAACCUCAGACAAACUGUCAGGACUGCAGCAACGGUGCCAGGCCCAGCCAUGUUCAGACCUCCUGACUGACAUCUGGUGCUGAAGUAUGAGUUAAGGAGUUGAAGGCAUUGGGCUUCGGAGUGUAUGUCUGUCAUGUAGAAGCUCUCAAGGGACGUCAAGUGGCUCCACGGCUUCUGUCUACCUCAAUGAAGAGUCUGCAAGUAACCAUGUGGAUCAAUGUUGUGGCUCCUCAUUAAAACCAGAGGAUGCUGCAAACUUCAUCAAUAUGGCAAGACUCAAAUGCAGAUUUCAUUUUGAGCCGAAGAACCAGUUCAUCUGCUGACGGGAAACAACGGUCACAUUUAGAUGUCUAACCUUCAGAUAAUUCCCAGUUUUUUGUGAUUUGCCAAGUUGUACAUCAGCAGAAAAGUCUAAAUUUUUUUUAAUGGUGAAGAUGGAAGAGUUUUUGAGUUUUAAUUGCAGUAAUAUUUGUUAAAAUCAUCUGUACGAGGGAUUGACGAGAAAUGUUAAAAUAAACAUCCUAAAUACA